RNA transcript from Anopheles funestus (African malaria mosquito), 1679 nucleotides. RefSeq lists it as uncharacterized. The transcript is spliced from 4 exons. The record is from RefSeq and is a predicted model, not a curated record. Lineage: Eukaryota; Metazoa; Arthropoda; Insecta; Diptera; Culicidae.
AUUCAAUCGGAAAGUGUAUAUACACCAGUACACCAGACACGAAGCAUCCGCACAAAUUUCACGCACAAGCGUAUUUUCAAACCACAACAGCACAACAGGCAACGCAAGUCAUCGCGCCACUAGGUGUCAGUGGCUUUGGUUGCAUCUGUGCGUAAAGAAGUGAGAGUUUGGGUUUUCUCCCUGGGCUUUGAAUUGUUCGCGAAGUUUGUACGGUGUCAGUUACGCAGGUGUCUCUUGCAAGAUACCAAUCACGACCGUAACAUCUGCUGACGAAGUGCGUUGUGUGUGCCUGAAGGAAGAAGUUUUAGUAAACAAGUAUAUUUAAAGUCAGUUCAGCAUCUGGGCCUAAAUAUCUUAAACGUCUUAAAAUGCUACCAAACAGAACUAUUGGUUCGGUUUCCACGUGCAAAUAUUUCUUGAUCAUGUUUGCCGUAAGUUGUUUCCUGCAAGUGUCCUUGCUGAUAGGCUCUAGCGAAGCUACUUCCAUGUAUUAUAAGAAAGUACAGGGAGAAAAGUAUGAACCAGACUGGGUGCCCGUAUCUUCCACCGUGAUACCGUUGGUUGAACGCGUCGUCAGCGUGGGUGCGGGAGCGCGUAAGAAAUCAUCGUUCGGCAGUGAUGGUCACGACGGUACGGACGGUGUACUAGGGGCGGACGAAAGCUACAAGCGUGCUUACGUGAAACACAUCAGCAAGUUCACGAAAAUUGGUACGGCAGGAGCGGAGGUACAACCAGGAACACUUAUUACCGGUAAAACUGCGUCAUCAAGUGCGAAAGAUUAGAGAGUCGUUGAGGACCCAAUGCCGUGAGAUUUCACUAAACGUCCAAUUCGCUAACGUAGCUAACAUGUUGAAAAUGUUUUGUUGUUAACUUAUCUUAAGUUUAAACUGUGCGGCUACCUUACUGAAGCAAAAGAUGACAGACAUCUGUAAUUAAAUGAUCACACAAUCUAGCACAUAAAUAUUUGCCUGUUAGUGUUAUUGCCAGUAGCUACAACCAUAUUGAGGUGGCGUUAUCAACCAUCUCAUGCAAUAAAAAAAAUAGGUCUGUAGACUAUAAUGCAUUAAACGAGAGGGAACAAACAUGCGCUCGAAAUCAGUGUAUAUCUUUCAGAAAAUUUCGUACUAUGGUGAUGAUGAUUUCAUCUUCACGUUCUUGAUCCCCUCUCCCCGAAGGAAAAAUAAAUAAAAUCUGUCUGACAACAACUACAAAAAAAACGUCCGCACUCUCCCAAACUGUUGCUACUGGCUUGUUUAUUUGUACGAGGGACGAGUAAUAAAGUGAUUUUCCGUUGGCGUAAGAAAGAGGACGGAACUCCAGCAUCACUUUCAUCCAUCGUGUGCUCCGUGCAAUACUUCAUGUACUGUUUAUUUCCCGCCGACACAGCAGUCACGUGUCUGUUUGUGAUUGAACGUGCGUCUGCACUUAUGUUGCGACCGUAUCAUAGCGCGAGGGAUUCAUCUAACCUAACCCCAUGUCGUUAUGGCAACGUAUCAGAUUGAUACCAACUUAACCCUACGGCCAGAGGCCAAAAUCUUCCCUUUUUGUUAUCGGAAAGUUGUAUGAACAUCCUAAUUAUUGUGAUUCAUUUGUACAUCGUUUUAGUUUGUUUACCCGUAUCGUCUUAUUGAUGAUAUAUUUUAAUUUAUUAUCGUUUCUAGGGUAGGUGUAGUUGCACU